Molecule: transfer RNA, 72 nt
Filed under: Aeromonas veronii
Lineage: Bacteria; Pseudomonadati; Pseudomonadota; Gammaproteobacteria; Aeromonadales; Aeromonadaceae
Description: tRNA-Pro
Rfam family: tRNA
About the family: Transfer RNA (tRNA) molecules are approximately 80 nucleotides in length. Their secondary structure includes four short double-helical elements and three loops (D, anti-codon, and T loops).
Source: RNAcentral
GCUGGCUUAGCUCAGUAGGUAGGAAACUGACUUGGAGUCAGUAGUUCACCAGUUAGAUUCCGGUAGACAGCA